RNAcentral lists this long non-coding RNA (1200 nucleotides) under Mytilus galloprovincialis (Mediterranean mussel). Lineage: Eukaryota; Metazoa; Mollusca; Bivalvia; Mytilida; Mytilidae. The record is from RNAcentral.
UUUAUAUUUUGGCGAUUAAAAAAAUAAUGUGAAAAUAAAUUGUCACAAAUAUUAAAAAAUUUAAUCUUUCCUUAUCAUCUUAUUAAAUACAUCCAGAAAAUUAAAAAAUCGAUUUCUUUAUCGACGUGGAGUCAGCUAGAAAGGACUAAACACGAAAUAAAGUAUGGGUGAAAAUAAUUUGUUUUACAGUACUUUAAACGAACAUUUCUAGUCACAUGUAUUUUAUUGAAAUCAGUAUUAAAGAGAUCUCAUGUUGAUUUAUUUCUGAUGAAAGAUCAACAUGCUGUCAGCCAUUUUUUUUUGUGAGUGGAAAAAUGUGAUGGUGUGUUCUAGCAACUUAAUCAGUUUAAAUUGGCAUUAUUCAGGAUCUGAAUUUAUGUAAUUAUGUCUUUUGUUUGAAUGUAAGACAUCUUUUAUUCCUUUAUUGAAACUUGAAAGAAUAGGCCAUUUUUUUUUUUGUGAGUGGAAAAAUGUGAUGGUGUGUUCUUGCAACUUAAUCAGUAUAAAUUGGCAUUAUUGAAGAUCUGAAUUUAUGUAAUUCUGUCUUCUGUUUGAAUGUAGGACAACUUUUAUUCAUUUAUUGAAAGGAUAGGCUGGGUAAUGGAAGAUAAAGAAAAGUGUCAGAAGAUAGCAGGAAGAAAGAAAAACAGGCUAUUCUUUCAUCUUGGAAUUAUUUUUAAUUAUGGUUAAUAAUUUCUUGUGCUUUAAAUUUUUAAUACAUUCCAUGUUUAUUCUGUUUAUUCUGUUUUAUAAUGUUUUUAGUGGUACAUAAAACUUUCCAUACAAUGUAUUUUGAAUAGAUAGUGUUGAGUGCUGCACAGUACAUUCUAUUGAAAAGGUGCUAUCAUCUCUAAAAUAGAAAAUGUUGUGUGCCGCACAAAACAUUAAAAUGCACAAUAUACAUGGAAUAUAUUUAAAAAUUCAAGGAGAAGAAAUUAUACAAAUUUCAUAAUUCAAAAUAAUUCAAAGUUGAAAUAAGUAAAAAAUAAAUGAAUUGGAAAUGGAGUAAAUGAAGAGAGAAUGGUACCCAUGUCUAUCCCUACUUAUUUACAAAAUAAAUCUGAAAAGUCUCUGAACAAGGGAUCGGUUUUACUCUUUUAAACUGUCAGGACCCAUAUACAUGUUAUCUAUAUCUAUCAUUUGAAUUUAUUUUGUAAUAUUUUGUGUUGAUAUGCUAACAAUUUUAAUACAAUGUAUAUA